This is a long non-coding RNA of Amphibalanus amphitrite, 244 nucleotides long. RefSeq lists it as uncharacterized. The record is from RefSeq and is a predicted model, not a curated record. The transcript has 2 exons. NCBI's taxonomy places the organism in Eukaryota, Metazoa, Arthropoda, Thecostraca, Balanomorpha, Balanidae.
AAUUAAAUUAAAUCUUUGAACAAUUUUCUUUUAUAAAACCAAUCCAUUUAUUGAAUGGCCAGCUGAUUGCGACGCCCAGAACCUGCAGAAAAGCCGUUUUCCUAUCGCCAUUUUCGAGUCAAUUCGCCAAAUUUUAUCAAAUCACACCAAUUGCUAGUGAAAAAUGGAAGCCUUUUCUCUCCAAUAAGUGGACGCGAUGCCGCAAGAGACAAGAUUGAAGUGCAGCCAACACUGCAUGGUGCUU